GCUAGCCCCACGCCCCACCAGCCCCAGAUUCGUUCCACAUCCCCCGGUUCCUUGCCCUCUCCCUCUCUCUGGACGACCUCCCCCGCCGCCGCCGCCACCACGUCUUCUCUUCUCCCCUCACCUCUCCCCAUCCACCAGCGACCUCCUCCUGUUCCCCUCCCGCAGAUUGAGCAGCAGGCUGCGAGGGCACGUCGUGGCAGGAGGUGGAGCAGAGCGGAUCUGCGGGUCGUCGCCGUUCUUCCGCUCGAGGCCACCCUCGUCCACGUACUUCUCGCCACCAUGCGUGGACGCCGGUGAGGCCACCCUUCCUUCCACACACAGGUACUCCCCCGCCCCCUUCCAUGCCCUCUACCUUUCCCUAAUUUAGCUCUCUUCCCUGACCAUGUCUAUCUUCUACACAUAGAGAGCUGUGGUGGCUGGACACCAGGGUACCAAAUUGGAGGCUAAAUAAGCAUAUAUGUCCAAUUCUCAGACUAGAUUUUAAUGAAGGAAGUUGCAGUUCAUUACACUGCAAAUUAUGAAUAUGGAUCCAUCCUUCUGUGCUAAUGAAGGGGUGGAUGUAAUAAGGCUGCUGGCAAUGCAUGGAUGCUUAGAUGAGAAAAGAAAUGGCAAGGAAACAGAGGGCGCAGGACUACUAGAGGCAAAGACAGACGGACGCGGUCGGAGCAGUAUGGCAGCGUCGAUGGGGAUGGAGGAGCGCACAGAGAUGCUGCGGAGCACUGCUGAUGAGCUUGUCGGCAGGACGAGCUGCACUCACUGCUGCACGGCAACCCCGGCCCGGUCUGCUUCGACAGGUUUGAGCCCUCCGUCACCGACCGCGUGCACAUCUAGCAGGGUGUUGGGAAGGUGAUCAAUGUGAACAAGAUGGUCAGGGCCAGAUAUAGAGUAAAAAUCCUAAUAGCGGACCAGAGGACCGGAGUGAAGGACUCGGCAAGAUAAGGACGUCGGUCGCCAAUUCACUGUGAUUGAGAUCCGCGUCGUAACCAGAGAGCAGUUGGACCAUGACAAGGACGUCGCCAUCGGCUAAUCCGCCAUGUGGGAUUAUUGUUUGACCUUUCACAGUUCCUCCAGUGUGUGCUGACAGAUUAAUCUAAAGCAUCAAGAUCUGUAAGUGCUCGUGGGUCCUCAAGGUGCUGGUUCGUGAGCUCAGUUUGUUUGGGACAUCGAAGGUUAUCUUGGGCGAUGUGCAUCAACAAAGAAGUUUACAAUUGCAAUGAGAUUGUUUUGAGGACAAAUCUACCGACCGAGGAGCACGCUAGCCAGGUAUACACAGGAGAAGUGUAUGAACUGUCUGUGCAAACCAUAUGUGAAUCUGAACCCUUCUUAGUGGAGGCAGUAAUUGCCAACUUGAAAUACAUAGCACCGCAUCCCAACAGUAAAACCAGGGAAAAAUGAUCUAGGUUGGAAUAUGGGGUCAAUGCUAGAGAAGACGGUGAAGCAUUCAUGUGCAUGUGCAAGGAGCAGGAGAUCCUGUGUUGCCAUGCCGUCAAGGUGAUGAUCCACCUGGGUGUGCGUGAGAUACCAAGGUUACAUGUUGUGCCACCAAGUUGCCACAGAGCCCUGGUGAAUCGCAGAUGGAUAGUGAGCUAUGAAAGCACUCCGUGAUGCAUGUUAAGUUCUGAGACCUGGCGCAUGACCCUUGUGAUGAUGAAGGGUCCUGGGCCUACAAAGUUGUCAUGAAGGGCCUCGACAGACUGAACCCAGACCUAGCCGCGCCAAACGCCGUGCCCCGCCGCUACAACAAGCCAACAUUACGGUAGCCGAGGAUCCUCAUUUAUUCCAAAAGGUGCCGAAUAUGGUUGACUAACUCCAGUCCAUGAGGAAGUAAAGGACAUAUAUUCAACUUACUAUGUCUAUUACGAACAGAGUUCCCUGGAAAUGUGUCAAAACAAAUAGCUGAUAACCAGCAAUUUUCCACCAAUGGAAGCCCCGUGUGAUUUAGGUACCAUUUGCUCUCUUGGAUUUUGUUAUUUAGCCAUGUCAUGUUAAAUAUUACGCGGCUUGCUAAUGUUAUAUAUUUAGUCGCUUAUAUGAUGUCUGUUUGGUCGUUGCUCUAGCCUCAGACCCAAGAAAUUUGUUUGUUUGUCCAUUUGACCAAAAUAAUCUGUGUUGCUUUAAAGUCCAGUAAACAAAGAAACAACUUCGAUGCAUGUAUAUGCCUUUCAGUUUCACUUGCAUCCAAUAAAUAUAAUUAUGACACUUGUUGUCUUGCUGUGUUGUUCAAUUAUCGCCAGGAUGUUAACAAGCCCAUUAUAUAUCCUUGGUAAACCACAUGAUACUGUUUCCUAAUCACAUGUUUUUCCUACACAAACUAUACGAGUUUUAUGCAAAGGUAUCAUCUAAAAGGAAUUAUGGGCUUCAUAUAUGCUCCAGUAUCAUAGUAUUUUUCCAUGGUUCAUGGCAAUAAUUUCUCUACUUGGGAUUCCAUAGAAUUCUUUUGGUCUGCAUAGUUUUGUUUUUACAGUUGAAAAAAACUAAUAAAUUAACAAGACCUUUUAUGCAUAAUUAUGUUGCCAUGAUAUGCAUAAUUAUGGUAGUUAGCAUAGUGACUUUGACACUUUUUAGAUAUGCUCCAACCUUGAGUUUACUCAAUCUCGCAUUAGCCUAUUGUGUUUGAAAUUUGCUUACAUGAAAACAGAUGUUGAAUUUUCCUUUGAUUUAUCAUUUGUCAGUUUUUAUCUUUUUGAUAUUUGCAUGGGAUGGAUUUGAACUUCACUCUUGCUAAAGCCCUGUAUGCGAGUUUGUUUGAGUUACUUGUAGAACAAAUUAACAAGGCCUUCUUAGUUGGCAAGCGUCGAGUUGGGUGGUCAAUCAGUUUCCCCCUGCAUCUGCGAAGUGGCAGAAGAAGGCUACGAUGGAUGUGCUCAGGGCGUUGCCAUCUCCAUCCCCGCACCAUCUUUGUCACAUGCAGCAUCUGACUUACCUCCUCAAGGCAGGAGUGGCUCUUCAAGGAGAAUGAGAUUGAGGAUGGAGGCACUGAACCCGCAUGCAUGAUGACGAUGCAUAAAAGUCACGUCGGCGGCUCCUGCGGGUUGACGUUGGCCGCCAACAAUGACGAGGUCGGCGGCUUUGAUGUGGGGGUCAUCGACCUUACCUCUGACGGGAAUUAGUAAUCUUUUUCUUUGGUUUUUAGUUAUUAUUAUGCUCGGUGUCCCGCUUCUGCGUUGUAAAAAUAAAGUGGGAAUUAGUAAUCUUUUUCUUUGGUUUUUAGUUAUUAUUAUGCUCGGUGUCCCGCUUCUGCGUUGUAAAAAUAAAGUGCGUGUCCACUUUGAUAAAUACGGAUGUCCACGGACUUAGUUGGUGGUAUCAGUUUGGUGAUCCAUGUUGAAGAUGCCCUAAUCUCCUUGUA
This is a long non-coding RNA of Triticum dicoccoides, 3349 nucleotides long. RefSeq lists it as uncharacterized. NCBI's taxonomy places the organism in Eukaryota, Viridiplantae, Streptophyta, Magnoliopsida, Poales, Poaceae. The record is from RefSeq and is a predicted model, not a curated record. The transcript is spliced from 7 exons.